Molecule: transfer RNA, 69 nt
Filed under: Lepidocybium flavobrunneum (escolar)
Lineage: Eukaryota; Metazoa; Chordata; Actinopteri; Scombriformes; Gempylidae
Description: tRNA-Arg
Rfam family: tRNA
About the family: Transfer RNA (tRNA) molecules are approximately 80 nucleotides in length. Their secondary structure includes four short double-helical elements and three loops (D, anti-codon, and T loops).
Source: RNAcentral
AGGUGGCUAGUUUAAUAAAAACACUUGAUUUCGGCUCAAGAGCUUAUGGUUCAUGUCCAUAGUCUCCUU